This 339-nucleotide long non-coding RNA is filed under the name Dasypus novemcinctus (nine-banded armadillo). RNAcentral's name for it is "lncRNA (ENSDNOG00000052234.1)". The record is from RNAcentral. Lineage: Eukaryota; Metazoa; Chordata; Mammalia; Cingulata; Dasypodidae.
UGGGAACUGAACCCAGGACCUCCAAUGUGGGAGGAAGACCCCCAAUCGCCUAGACCACCUCCAUUCCCUGUGCUCUCCUGCCCCGCCAGUGGGUAUACAGAGACCACGAGGACAACAGGGUACCCGAGAGAGGGAGUGGGCAGAUGGCGGGGAAAAACCACUCAGAGCCGCACCAUGCUCAAACCAGGGCAGAACAGCUGCAGGGACAGUGACAGUGAAAGCGCCAGUGGAGAAUCCAAGGGCUUCCACCGGAGCAGCUCUCGGGAACGACUCAGCGAUGUAAGUUAAGAAGAGACAAAAAUAAAAGCUACCAGACCACACACCCCUUGAGUAAGGUCU